Molecule: transfer RNA, 75 nt
Filed under: Candidatus Pacearchaeota archaeon CG1_02_31_27
Lineage: Archaea; Nanobdellati
Also listed under: 3 other names
Description: tRNA-Pro
Rfam family: tRNA
About the family: Transfer RNA (tRNA) molecules are approximately 80 nucleotides in length. Their secondary structure includes four short double-helical elements and three loops (D, anti-codon, and T loops).
Source: RNAcentral
GGGGCUGUGGGAUAGUCUGGUCUAGCCUUCGAGGUUUGGGACCUUGCGACCCCGGUUCAAAUCCGGGCAGCCCCA